GAAGUGGGCCGGACAAUCGCGGAACCUACAUGUGAGGUUAUGAGGAAAGUCCGGGCUCCACAGGGUGAGAAGCUGGCUAACGGCCAGGCGGGGUGACCCGACGGAGAGCGCCGCAGAAAAGAAGACUCCCACUGCCUCUUUGAGGUCAGAGAAAAGCUGAAACGGUGGUGUAAGAGACCACCAGCGUCGUGGCGACACGGCGGCUUGGUAAGCCCCUUCUGGAGCAAACACAAAUAGGGAUGCGAUCGUGUGACCCGCACGGCAUCCGGGUUGUGCGCUUGAGGGCACCGGUAACGGUGCUCCUAGAUAGAUGAUUGUCCUCGACAGAACCCGGCUCAUAGGCCCACUUCGUGC
Molecule: RNase P RNA, 354 nt
Filed under: Atopobium sp. oral taxon 416
Lineage: Bacteria; Bacillati; Actinomycetota; Coriobacteriia; Coriobacteriales; Atopobiaceae
Description: RNase P RNA component class A
Rfam family: Bacterial RNase P class A
About the family: Ribonuclease P (RNase P) is a ubiquitous endoribonuclease, found in archaea, bacteria and eukarya as well as chloroplasts and mitochondria. Its best characterised activity is the generation of mature 5'-ends of tRNAs by cleaving the 5'-leader elements of precursor-tRNAs.
Source: RNAcentral